GACGAACGCUGGCGGCGUGCUUAACACAUGCAAGUCGAACGGAAAGGCCCUGCUUUUGUGGGGUGCUCGAGUGGCGAACGGGUGAGUAACACGUGAGUAACCUGCCCUUGACUUUGGGAUAACUUCAGGAAACUGGGGCUAAUACCGGAUAGGAGCUCCUGCUGCAGGGUGGGGGUUGGAAAGUUUCGGCGGUUGGGGAUGGACUCGCGGCUUAUCAGCUUGUUGGUGGGGUAGUGGCUUACCAAGGCUUGGGCGGGUAGCCGGCCUGGGAGGGUGACCGGCCACAUUGGGACUAAGAUACGGCCCAGACUCCUACGGGAGGCAGCGGUGGGGAGUAUUGCCCAGUGGGCGGAAGCCUGAUGCAGCAGCGCCGCGUGCGGGAUGACGGCCUUCGGGUUGUAAACCGCUUUCGCCUGUGACGAAGCGUGAGUGACGGUAAUGGGUAAAGAAGCACCGGCUAACUACGUG
RNAcentral lists this ribosomal RNA (468 nucleotides) under uncultured bacterium. Its description in RNAcentral is "partial 16S ribosomal RNA". It matches the Rfam family "Bacterial small subunit ribosomal RNA", at positions 28 to 507 of the family's 1533-position model. The record is from RNAcentral.